This 498-nucleotide ribosomal RNA is filed under the name uncultured bacterium. RNAcentral's name for it is "partial 16S ribosomal RNA". It matches the Rfam family "Bacterial small subunit ribosomal RNA", at positions 29 to 507 of the family's 1533-position model. The record is from RNAcentral.
AGCGAACGCUGGCGGCGUGCCUAACACAUGCAAGUCGAACGUGAAAAGGGAAACCUGAGUAAAGUGGCGUACGGGUGAGUAACGCGUAGGUAAUCUACCCCAGAAUCUGGAAUAACCUGCCGAAAGGCGGGCUAAUACUGUAUAGAGCGAGGGAACUCGUAAGAGAGUUUUUCGGGAAAGGGAGCCCGCAAGGGCCUUCGUUCUGGGAUGAGCCUGCGUCUCAUUAGCUAGUUGGUAAGGUAACGGCUUACCAAGGCGAUGAUGAGUAGCUGGUCUGAGAGGAUGAUCAGCCACACUGGAACUGAAACACGGUCCAGACUCCUACGGGAGGCAGCAGUGGGGAAUCUUGCGCAAUGGACGAAAGUCUGACGCAGCCACGCCGCGUGAGUGAAGAAGGCCUUCGGGUUGUAAAGCUCUGUCGGAUGGGACGAACAUCUUCAUAGUGAAUAGCUAUGAGGACUGACGGUACCAUCAAAGGAAGCACCGGCUAACUCCGUG